This 482-nucleotide ribosomal RNA is filed under the name uncultured bacterium. RNAcentral describes it as "partial 16S ribosomal RNA". It matches the Rfam family "Bacterial small subunit ribosomal RNA", at positions 30 to 507 of the family's 1533-position model. The record is from RNAcentral.
AUUGAACGCUGGCGGCAUGCCUUACACAUGCAAGUCGAACGGUAACAGGUCUUCGGAUGCUGACGAGUGGCGAACGGGUGCGUAAUACAUCGGAACGUGCCCGAUCGUGGGGGAUAACGAGGCGAAAGCUUUGCUAAUACCGCAUACGAUCUACGGAUGAAAGCGGGGGAUCUUCGGACCUCGCGCGGACGGAGCGGCCGAUGGCAGAUUAGGUAGUUGGUGGGAUAAAAGCUUACCAAGCCGACGAUCUGUAGCUGGUCUGAGAGGAUGAUCAGCCACACUGGGACUGAGACACGGCCCAGACUCCUACGGGAGGCAGCAGUGGGGAAUUUUGGACAAAGGGCGAAAGCCUGAUCCAGCCAUGCCGCGUGCAGGAUGAAGGCCUUUGGGUUGUAAACUGCUUUUGUACGGAACGAAAAGCCUCUUUCUAAUAAAGAGGGGUCAUGACGGUACCGUAAGAAUAAGCACCGGCUAACUACGUG